RNAcentral lists this ribosomal RNA (370 nucleotides) under Escherichia coli. RNAcentral's name for it is "bacterial SSU rRNA". It matches the Rfam family "Bacterial small subunit ribosomal RNA", at positions 408 to 795 of the family's 1533-position model. Lineage: Bacteria; Pseudomonadati; Pseudomonadota; Gammaproteobacteria; Enterobacterales; Enterobacteriaceae. The record is from RNAcentral.
AAAAAGUAUUUCGGUAUGUAAAGCUCUAUCAGCAGGGAAGAUAAUGACGGUACCUGACUAAGAAGCACCGGCUAAAUACGUUCCAGCAGCCGCGGUAAUACGUAUGGUGCCAGCGUUAUCCUGAUUUACUGGGUGUAAAGGGAGCGCAGGCGGUGCGGCAAGUCUGAUGUGAAAGCCCGGGGCUCAACCCCGGUACUGCAUUGGAAACUGUCGUACCAGAGUUGCGGAGGGGUAAGCGGAAUUCCUAGUGUAGCGGUGAAAUGCGUAGAUAUUAGGAGGAACACCAGUGGCGAAGGCGUCUUUCUGUACGAUAACUGACGCCGAGGCUCGAAAGCGUGGGGCGCCAACACGAUUAGAUCCCCUUGUAGUC